GACGAACGCUGGCGGCGUGCUUAACACAUGCAAGUCGAACGGAAAGGCCCUGCUUUUGUGGGGUGCUCGAGUGGCGAACGGGUGAGUAACACGUGAGUAACCUGCCCUUGACUUUGGGAUAACUUCAGGAAACUGGGGCUAAUACCAGAUAGGAGCUCCUGCUGCAUGGUGGGGGUUGGAAAGUUUCGGCGGUUGGGGAUGGACUCGCGGCUUAUCAGCUUGUUGGUGGGGUAGUGGCUUACCAAGGCUUUGACGGGUAGCCGGCCUGAGAGGGUGACCGGCCACAUUGGGACUGAGAUACGGCCCAGACUCCUACGGGAGGCAGCAGUGGGGAAUAUUGCACAAUGGGCGGAAGCCUGAUGCAGCAACGCCGCGUGCGGGAUGACGGCCUUCGGGCUGUAAACCGCUUUCGCCUGUGACGAAGCGUGAGUGACGGUAAUGGGUAAAGAAGCACCGGCUAACUACGUG
RNAcentral lists this ribosomal RNA (468 nucleotides) under uncultured bacterium. Its description in RNAcentral is "partial 16S ribosomal RNA". It matches the Rfam family "Bacterial small subunit ribosomal RNA", at positions 28 to 507 of the family's 1533-position model. The record is from RNAcentral.